This 253-nucleotide ribosomal RNA is filed under the name uncultured bacterium. RNAcentral's name for it is "partial 16S ribosomal RNA". It matches the Rfam family "Archaeal small subunit ribosomal RNA", at positions 474 to 727 of the family's 1478-position model. The record is from RNAcentral.
UACCAGCUCCUCGAGUGGUCGGGGCGAUUAUUGGGCCUAAAGCAUCCGUAGCCUGUUCUGUAGGUCCUCUGUUAAAUCCAACGGCUUACCCGUUGGCCCGCAGAGGAUACCGUAGGACUAGGAGGCGGGAGAGGUGGACGGUACUCCACGUGUAGGGGUAAAAUCCUUUGAUCCGUGGAAGACAAACAGUGGCGAAGGCGGUCCACCAGAACGCGCUCGACGGUGAGGGAUGAAAGCUGGGGGAGCGAACCGG